AGAGUUUGAUCAUGGCUCAGGACGAACGCUGGCGGCGUGCCUAACACAUGCAAGUCGAGCGAGGAACUUCGGUUCCUAGCGGCGGACGGGUGAGUAACACGCGGGUAACCUGCCUCAAAGAGGGGGAUAGCCUCCCGAAAGGGAGAUUAAUACCGCAUAACAUUAAAUUACCGCAUGGUAGUUUAAUUAAAGGAGUAAUCCGCUUUGAGAUGGACCCGCGGCGCAUUAGCUAGUUGGUGAGGUAACGGCUCACCAAGGCCACGAUGCGUAGCCGACCUGAGAGGGUGAUCGGCCACAUUGGAACUGAGAUACGGUCCAGACUCCUACGGGAGGCAGCAGUGGGGAAUAUUGCACAAUGGGCGGAAGCCUGAUGCAGCAACGCCGCGUGAGUGAUGAAGGCCUUCGGGUUGUAAAGCUCUGUCUUUGGGGACGAUUAUGACGGUACCCAAGGAGGAAGCCACGGCUAACUACGUGCCAGCAGCCGCGGUAAUACGUAGGUGGCAAGCGUUGUCCGGAUUUACUGGGCGUAAAGGAUGCGUAGGCGGAUAUUUAAGUCAGAUGUGAAAUACCCGAGCUUAACUUGGGUGCUGCAUUUGAAACUGGAUAUCUAGAGUGUGGGAGAGGAAAGUGGAAUUCCUAGUGUAGCGGUGAAAUGCGUAGAGAUUAGGAAGAACACCAGUGGCGAAGGCGACUUUCUGGACCAUAACUGACGCUGAGGCAUGAAAGCGUGGGGAGCAAACAGGAUUAGAUACCCUGGUAGUCCACGCCGUAAACGAUGGGUACUAGGUGUAGGGGGUAUCGACUCCCUCUGUGCCGCAGUUAACACAAUAAGUACCCCGCCUGGGGAGUACGGUCGCAAGAUUAAAACUCAAAGGAAUUGAC
This 882-nucleotide ribosomal RNA is filed under the name uncultured bacterium. RNAcentral's name for it is "bacterial SSU rRNA". It matches the Rfam family "Bacterial small subunit ribosomal RNA", at positions 8 to 914 of the family's 1533-position model. The record is from RNAcentral.